CCAACCACCACACCUGCAUGAUCUCUGGAUCUACUCGACUUUCAAUGUGCGAAUGACGAGGGUUUAAACCUGUUCGAAGUUGCUACUAAAGCAUUACAACGAUAUUUCCUGGUUAUUAUUUUGUUAUUUUAUAUGUUUUUUCCCAGUGUUUUUUUCUAAGAUUACUCAAAUGUAACUUCACUUGACUAUGUUUGGACUUCCUCUGGGUUGUGACGCCAUUUUGUUUGAAGUGUAGGAGAUCCCACUAACUCUGCGUUGUGUUCAUGAAGUGCAGGUGAGACAAGACGGCGUGCCAGCGCCAGGUCCAGCUCGGAAGUGAAUGUCAGGGACGGCGAUAGAAGUCGCCGUCAUGUCGCGCGGAAAUGGCAACAGCGAAGGAUGCAUGUGCAUGUACGAGCCAGUCUGCCCCACAACAAGAGGAUAGCGG
Long non-coding RNA from Entelurus aequoreus (snake pipefish), 427 nucleotides. RefSeq lists it as uncharacterized. The transcript has 4 exons. Lineage: Eukaryota; Metazoa; Chordata; Actinopteri; Syngnathiformes; Syngnathidae. The record is from RefSeq and is a predicted model, not a curated record.